This 460-nucleotide ribosomal RNA is filed under the name uncultured bacterium. RNAcentral describes it as "partial 16S ribosomal RNA". It matches the Rfam family "Bacterial small subunit ribosomal RNA", at positions 338 to 795 of the family's 1533-position model. The record is from RNAcentral.
CCUACGGGUGGCAGCAGUGAGGAAUAUUGGACAAUGGGCGCGAGCCUGAACCAGCCAAGUCGCGUGAAGGAUGACUGCCCUACGGAUUGUAAACUUCUUUUAUAAAGGAAUAAAGUGAGGCACGUGUGCCUUUUUGUAUGUACUUUAUGAAUAAGGAUCGGCUAACUCCGUGCCAGCAGCCGCGGUAAUACGGAGGAGCCGAGCGUUAUCCGGAUUUAUUGGGUUUAAAGGGAGCGUAGAUGGGUUGUUAAGUCAGUUGUGAAAGUUUGCGGCUCAACCGUAAAAUUGCAAUUGAUACUGGCAGCCUAGAGUACAGUUGAGGUAGGCGGAAUUCGUGGUGUAGCGGUGAAAUGCGUAGAUAUCACGAAGAACUCCGAUUGCGAAGGCAGCUUACUAAACUGCCACUGACAUUGAUGCCCGAAAGUGUGGGGAGCAAACAGGAUUAGAUACCCGAGUAGUC